Molecule: ribosomal RNA, 406 nt
Filed under: uncultured bacterium
Lineage: Bacteria
Description: partial 16S ribosomal RNA
Rfam family: Bacterial small subunit ribosomal RNA
Source: RNAcentral
AUUGAACGCUGGCGGCAGGCCUAACACAUGCACGUAGAACGCGUGGCGGACGGGUGAGUAAUGUCUGGGAAACUGCCUGAUGGAGGGGGAUAACUACUGGAAACGGUAGCUAAUACCGCAUACCAUCGGAUGUGCCCAGAGGGGAUUAGCUCGUAGGUGGGGUAACGGCUCACCGAGGCGACGAUCCCUAGCUGGUCUGCGAGGAUGACCAGCAACACUGGAACUGAGACACGGUCCAGACGCCUACGGGAGGCAGCAGUGGGGAAUAUUGCACAAUGGGCGCAAGCCUGAUGCAGCCAUGCCGCGUGUAUGAAGAAGGCCUUCGGGUUGUAAAGGACUUUCAGCGGGGAGGCGUUACCCGCAGAAGAAGCACCGGCUAACUCCGUGCCAGCAGCCGCGGUAAUUC